Molecule: ribosomal RNA, 292 nt
Filed under: uncultured bacterium
Lineage: Bacteria
Description: partial 16S ribosomal RNA
Rfam family: Bacterial small subunit ribosomal RNA
Source: RNAcentral
GUGUCAGCAGCCGCGGUAAUACGUAGGGGGCAAGCGUUGUCCGGAAUCAUUGGGCGUAAAGCGCGUGUAGGCGGCUCGGUAAGUCUGCUGUGAAAGUCCAGGGCUCAACCCUGGGAUGCCGGUGGAUACUGUCGAGCUCGAGUCCGGAAGAGGCGAGUGGAAUUCCUGGUGUAGCGGUGAAAUGCGCAGAUAUCAGGAGGAACACCAAUGGCGAAGGCAGCUCGCUGGGACGUGACUGACGCUGAGACGCGAAAGCGUGGGGAGCAAACAGGAUUAGAAACCCCAGUAGUCC